UACAGAGGUCCCAAGCGUUGUUCGGAUUCACUGGGCGUAAAGGGUGCGUAGGUGGCCGGGUAAGUCUGACGUGAAAUCUCCGAGCCUAACUCCGAAACUGCAUUCGAUACUGCCGUGCUUGAGGACUGGAGAGGAGACUGGAAUUUACGGUGUAGCAGUGAAAUGCGUAGAGAUCGUAAGGAAGACCAGUGGCGAAGGCGGGUCUCUGGACAGUUCCUGACACUGAGGCACGAAGGCCAGGGGAGCAAACGGG
RNAcentral lists this ribosomal RNA (253 nucleotides) under uncultured bacterium. Its description in RNAcentral is "partial 16S ribosomal RNA". It matches the Rfam family "Bacterial small subunit ribosomal RNA", at positions 524 to 776 of the family's 1533-position model. The record is from RNAcentral.